RNAcentral lists this RNase P RNA (233 nucleotides) under Actinomycetota bacterium. RNAcentral describes it as "partial RNase P RNA component class A". It matches the Rfam family "Bacterial RNase P class A", at positions 1 to 212 of the family's 367-position model. Rfam says of the family: Ribonuclease P (RNase P) is a ubiquitous endoribonuclease, found in archaea, bacteria and eukarya as well as chloroplasts and mitochondria. Its best characterised activity is the generation of mature 5'-ends of tRNAs by cleaving the 5'-leader elements of precursor-tRNAs. Cellular RNase Ps are ribonucleoproteins. The record is from RNAcentral. Lineage: Bacteria; Bacillati; Actinomycetota.
GGAGUCGGCCGGGUGGCCGCGGCGUAGGGCUUGCUCUGCGUCGAGGAAAGUCCGGGCUCCACAGGGCAGGACGCUGGGUAAAGGCCCAGGCGGGGCGACCCGUGGAAAGUGCAACAGAGAGCAGACCGCCUAAGCGGUUCUCGUCGGUCAACCGACGAGUUCCGCCGGCAAGGCUGAAAGGGUGAGGUAAGAGCUCACCAGCGUGCCGGGUGACCGGUGCGGCUAGGUAAACC